CCUACGGGAGGCAGCAGUGAGGAAUAUUGGUCAAUGGUCGGAAGGCUGAACCAGCCAAGCAGCGUGAAGGACGAAGGCGCUAAGGAUUGUAAACUGCUUUUGUCCAGGGACAAAAUGAGGCUCGAGAGACUGAUUGUGGGUACUGCAAGAAAAAGGACCGGCUAAUUCCGUGCCAGCAGCCGCGGUAAUACGGAGGAUGCGAGCGUUAUCCGGAUUUAUUGGGUUUAAAGGGUGCGCAGGCGGAUUUUUAAGUCAGCGGUAAAAUCCGGGGGCUCAACCGCGUCCUGCCGCUGAAACUGGGUAUCUUGAGUGCGCGAGAGGUAUGCGGAAUGCGUGGUGUAGCGGUGAAAUGCUUAGAUAUCACGCAGAACCCCGAUUGCGAAGGCAGCAUACGGGUGCACAACUGACGCUGAGGCUCGAAAGCGUGGGUAUCGAACAGGAUUAGAUACCCGAGUAGUC
RNAcentral lists this ribosomal RNA (459 nucleotides) under uncultured bacterium. RNAcentral's name for it is "partial 16S ribosomal RNA". It matches the Rfam family "Bacterial small subunit ribosomal RNA", at positions 338 to 795 of the family's 1533-position model. The record is from RNAcentral.